GCCCCUAUAGCUCAGUGGUAGAGCGCAUCACUCGGCAAGUGAAUAUCUACCUAUGCGAUAAUGGGACUACGGCAGCUAAUACUUAGCAGUACCUACCUCCGUGCGAUAUGAUGAGGUCCAUCGUUCAAUCCGGUGUGGGGGCA
Molecule: non-coding RNA, 143 nt
Organism: Hypoxylon crocopeplum
Lineage: Eukaryota; Fungi; Ascomycota; Sordariomycetes; Xylariales; Hypoxylaceae
Source: the annotation of a GenBank genome assembly